This 134-nucleotide small RNA is filed under the name Geosporobacter ferrireducens. RNAcentral describes it as "c-di-AMP sequence". It matches the Rfam family "c-di-AMP riboswitch aptamer (ydaO/yuaA leader)". From Rfam's summary of the family: This family represents a conserved RNA structure found upstream of the ydaO and yuaA genes in Bacillus subtilis and related genes in other bacteria. The ydaO/yuaA element is thought to act as a genetic "off" switch for the ydaO and yuaA genes in its native state. Lineage: Bacteria; Bacillati; Bacillota; Clostridia; Peptostreptococcales; Thermotaleaceae. The record is from Rfam by way of RNAcentral.
AACAAUGAAACGCUGAAUUCCUAGAUUAAGGAAACGGGGGAACCAAUUAUGGGGUGAAUCUCACAGGUGAGUAGGGUUAGUCUUCUUUCGACCCGAAUCCGUCAGCUAACUUCGUAAGCGUGGAAAGAGGAAAA